Small nuclear RNA from Oryctolagus cuniculus (rabbit), 110 nucleotides. Its record names the gene U5. It matches the Rfam family "U5 spliceosomal RNA". From Rfam's summary of the family: U5 RNA is a component of both types of known spliceosome. Lineage: Eukaryota; Metazoa; Chordata; Mammalia; Lagomorpha; Leporidae. The record is from Ensembl.
ACUCUGGUUUCUCUUCAGAUCAAAUAAAUCUUUCACCUUUUACUAAAGAUUUUCAUGAAGAAUGCCUGGCAAACCUUAAUAAACAUAGGUAUUAAAUUUUUUUAUUUACA